GCUUGCUGUUCCCCCAGUCAGUAGUCAGGAAGCCCUUACCCCAAAAAGUAUUUGCGAGGGAUCAACUCUGCACAAGAGACGAGGAGGCCCAGGUGUCCGGCGGGGCUGUUCUUGGGCCUGCUGGCCUCCGCCUGUGCAUAUCACCCACCAGUCACCUUUGGGGUGGGCCAGCUUCACUCAAGCUCUCUGCUGCUGGAGACCCUUUCCAAGUGGCACACCUGGACCCCGUGGGAUUCUGAGCGCGCAAGUACCAAGCCUGCAGCGGACCAUUUCCAUGCCCAAUAACAGGGCUGCCGGUGAACCACAAAGCCCUCAAGGAUCAUCCAGCAGGGCUGGGGCUGCUCUUGGGCUUAUGGGCAGGAGCCCCCCCUCCCCCACACACGUAACUCAGAUCUCUCUCUGAAGUGAUAAGGGGUGUGCAAAACACAAUUUUAAAUCCCAAGUGGGGUUCUUCAAUACUGCAAUUAAAGCAAACUGUUUGGGGAA
Long non-coding RNA from Sphaerodactylus townsendi, 486 nucleotides. RefSeq lists it as uncharacterized. The record is from RefSeq and is a predicted model, not a curated record. NCBI's taxonomy places the organism in Eukaryota, Metazoa, Chordata, Lepidosauria, Squamata, Sphaerodactylidae. The transcript has 2 exons.